UACGUAGGGGGCAAGCGUUAUCCGGAUUUACUGGGUGUAAAGGGAGCGUAGACGGCAGUGCAAGUCUGGAGUGAAAGGCGGGGGCUCAACCCCCGGACUGCUCUGGAAACUGUACGGCUGGAGUGCAGGAGAGGUAAGUGGAAUUCCUAGUGUAGCGGCGAAAUGCGUAGAUAUUAGGAGGAACACCAGUGGCGAAGGCGGCUUACUGGACUGUAACUGACGUUGAGGCUCGAAAGCGUGGGGAGCAAACAGG
This 253-nucleotide ribosomal RNA is filed under the name uncultured bacterium. RNAcentral's name for it is "partial 16S ribosomal RNA". It matches the Rfam family "Bacterial small subunit ribosomal RNA", at positions 524 to 776 of the family's 1533-position model. The record is from RNAcentral.